UAUAGGAGUAGGAGCCUAUUGGGCAGAUGCCUUCUCGCUUCAACAUGGUUUGAGUGGGCUAUGCCCAGGCAUGCUUCUCAAAUUCUUUUACCUAUUAUUUUCUGCUAACUCAGCUUUAUCCCAUUGAUCUUUCAUGAGAUAAAGGAACAUCUGAUUCAGCCUUUUCCUGUUCUCACCUUGUUCUUAAUGUCUAUGGUGCAAAUAUUGGCACUAGAUUAAUAUGUCUUCUGAGUCAGAUUUCCCUGCUCUCAAUUACAUGGUCUUUCCUCUCCUAGCUUUAUUUACUCACCAGUAAAAGAUACUCAACAUAGUUGGGGUACAAGUAAAUAGUUUAGUAUAUAUGAAGAACCUAACAUAUUGUAAAGAUUCUACAAAGCAUAUGUAAUUUUGUUAUACUGCCUAUAUCAUUACAAGGGACUGAUACUGGUAUGACUGGGAAACUCUGCUGGAGUCCAGCUCCAGCGGGUUCAGGUCCUGAGAGGAGGUGUGGAGUCGGCAAUGAGAGAAUGAAACAGACACUGAGUGGAGGGUCGGCAGCUCAGCUUCUCUGUCUGAGUUAUACCAAAAUUACUUUACUUAUAUAUGUUUUGAUUACACAAAGCUUUGGUAAGCACGUGGGUCCAUACACAGUGUGUUUUCAUACAGAGUUAAAGAAAAGCUGAUAUCAUCUAAAAAAGUAUUUUAGACCACCCAGUUCUAAAUACUCCUCCGUUUGCUACGUGAACUCUUGCUAACUUAUCAGAUUUACAUUUGAGGAACAAGAAGCACUUUACAAAGGUCAGACUACGUCAUUAGGCCAAGUUUCAUCAGAUCUCAUUGUUGUGUGCCCUGCAGGUGUUGGCCAAGGGUGACCAGGUGCCAGACUGUGGGGCGCCUUAUUUUUUCCUUUCUUUUGUUCAUCUUUCUUUAACUCCUCUCAUAAGCAGUAUUUGUCAUAUGGCAGGGGUAAAUCUAAUCUGGGUAAACGUUGUAUGGAAUUUGUUCCUUUUGGUGGGCAUCAUAAUGUUCCACCUGUAAGCUACAUUGGGAGGGGGCUCAGCCGUUGGGACAGGCCCAUACUUUCCUUUAUUUUCUAUGGACCGAGAUCCCUGUUUUGCUGCAAAUAGUUGUGGGCUUAAAGCAGUCAGGGCCUCACCAUUUGUCCGAGUCUUGGAAGUACCCAGCAUUUCCAAGAGCCCUAACUGCGUCAUGAAUUUGUGGAUGUCCCAGUUUACCUUUGUGCAGUCAGGGCUUAUGGAUGUCACGUCCCCACUACUCAUGGAGGCAUGAGUGAGGGGCUUUUCUGUAAAUGGAUUUACAGCUUCUUCCUGUAAUCCCGGCCUAGUAACCAUCUCCGGAGUACUGACUUUUAUCCUUUCAGUGAUCUCCCGGGGAGUACAGCACCGAGGGAAUCACUGCCGUGGAAAGCAAAAGCAAAGGACAGAGUCGGGGUUUUAGCCACAGCCUCGGUUUCACCGGAGCUGUGUCAAGCAGCGAGAUUGUGACCAUGGCCUGCGCCAAAACUCUACAUCUACUGUGUAAUCUCGAUUCUUACCCCUUUUCAGUAAGCAGAAGUCUAAGAACUAGCUAAACCUUGUGCAAAAAUACUACGAGCUCUUCCCAGAAAGGAAGAAUAAAGGGAAUCGUUCCUGUGCAUGGGAAAGAGGACGAGAGGAAGACAGACACCAAUUUCAGUAUGUGUAACUCCAUCUGUGACGAUUCGAGAUAAAGAAUGUUUGAUAUCUCUCUCUCAUCUACAUGAGUAGAUUCCCCAGUAGAAGUUGAGCUUCAUAAGGUAGAAUCCAUCAUGCAUCCCAUUUACGGCUACUUUGUAGGCUACGUGAUGGUGGAAUGGUCCCUGAAGUAUGAGACACAUUGUGAAACCAGAAACCUUCUCUGUUCCUAAGUGACAAUGAUAUUUCGUUGAAUAUGAAACGUGAGAAAUGCUUCGGCACUUAGCGUGAGUCUCCUCUGUGGACUCAAGGCCGUGCAGUCUCUGAUCCUUGUGAUACCUUCUGAUCCCUGCACAAAAGCGCCAGUGGGGAGCGGUGCAGAAGGUGGCACUCAGUCGUGGCCGGCCUGUGUCUCAGGGUGACGCCAGAGCCCUGGAACUGCCUCACAGGACAGGUCACCUGCCAGGGACGCCCUGCAGAGUCGGCCCCUGCCCCUCCAAGAAGCCCACCUGCUCAAGUUACCUUUCCACUCCUUCCCCCAACACAAGCAGUGAACCAAGGACUGGAAGGAGAACCCAGGACCCAGACACAGGACCCCAUGCUGUGGUACAGAGUGGCAGAUGUCCGGUUUGGCAAACUCCCCUACCCAGCUGCUGCCCUUUCUCUCUUGUAGAGUGCGCAUACUACCUGAAAUCCCCUGUUCAUCGCUUUCCUGCCAGCUGCAACUCCGGUACCUUCCCCAGGCCCUGUCAUCUACGACUCAUCUAAGCCCACCCUCUUACUGCCUUCCAUCUCUGGCCUCUGCUCUGAACCAGGCCCAGCGGCCCGGUGGCCCGGCGAGGGGAAAUGUUGCCCCUGGGAAUGCAAACUCCACACCUUGGCUUCCUGCACAUUACCAUGCGGUGGCCUUCUUGCUCCUGACUUUUCUCUUUCCUUUUCUGAGCUGCCCUUUUCACCCUGUCUCUGCAUACCCAAAUUUUAUCCAUUUUUCAGAAGCAUCUCAAGUACCACAUUCCUCAUGAUACUGUCAUUGCUUCUCCCCCUGAAGGAGGCCUGCUGGGGUGGGGGUGUUUUGCAUCACAUAGUAAGUCACAUGGUGGCCUCAGGUGGUCACCUUUGGCUCCUCUUAAAUAUAUAAAUCCCCCAGUCUCAGUUUACUUAGCCUAUGAAUGCCCCUUGGUUUAUGAAGUUCUCAGAGAAUGUUGGUAGAUUCGAGGAAUAUGAAUAAAUAUAUUUCAUUAGCUAAAGUUCAGUUCACGAACUCAGUUCUCUCCAUGAUUCUGCUUCCAAACUAAACUGGAGGAGAACCAAAUCAAAUUUCUCCGUAAGGCCAACAUUGAAUCUAAUCAUUGAAUUUGAUUCAGUAACCAAAAUAUAUAGAUAGAUAAUACAAACAGGCAGACAGAAGAAAAUAGAAACUUGUUUUUUCUUCAUAACAGAAAAAUAUCAGAUUGAAACAAUGUCAGGAAAGUAUUUAAAAGAUUAAUUGUGCAUUUUAUAUGUAUGGCUACUUCCUUGAUGACUGCAGUGCUUAAUAGAAAACAUAUAAUCAGAAAGCCAGAGAUUUAUUUAUAAUUUUAUGUUUGUUACUGUGCUAUCCCAAGUGUUCAUGGGUAAUUCUUCAUUUUUCUUAGUUUUUUUCCUUCCCUUUAAUAUGAGAGGGCUGAACUACUUAAGCCAAAUAUAAGUAGCUGUAUGAUUAUAUCAUCCUGUGAUUAAGCUUUGUGGCUUAAGCAGGGCUACACCUUCUGGUUUUAGGCUACUCUUGAUUAGUUUUACUAAACAGAAGUUCUCAGCUUUAACUUCCCUCAGGGAUUCUCACACACACACAAAAAGUAGCUCAAGAUUCUUGGACAGUUUAUCUAAGAAACAAAUGCAUUAACUUUCCUAAUAUCAUUCAUGUUGAAUCAUUUAACAGAAGUUGUUUUAGAUAUAUGUUAAAUCUAGCUUAUAUCUUUUUUUUUUUUUGAUCCCCUUGUAGUAGGGAGUGGAUUCAGGUCCCAUACAUGCUAGCCGAGUGCUCUAACCCUAAGCUACAUCUCCAGCAAACUUGGGUCUUCUUGCUUAACACUGUGACCGAUGUUUGGCCAUUAUGGUAUUGUGCCUGAAAAGUAAGAGACAAUUCUGAGCUUCUCUGAGCUUUAAGAUGUCCAUUCCUAGGGCUACAAUCUUGAAUAAGUAACUCUAAUGAAAGUAGCGUGUUUGAUGCAAGUUCUUUGUUUUGCUCCAUUUGAACAUUGAAAGGUGAAUAUGAAUAUAAUGAUUAUGAAUA
Heterocephalus glaber (naked mole-rat) is the source of this 3924-nucleotide non-coding RNA. The record is from RefSeq and is a predicted model, not a curated record. NCBI's taxonomy places the organism in Eukaryota, Metazoa, Chordata, Mammalia, Rodentia, Bathyergidae.